CAACCUCAACUCAUAUGGGACUACCCCCUGAAUUUAAGCAUAUUAAUUAGGGGAGGAAAAGAAACUAACAAGGAUUUUCUUAGUAGCGGCGAGCGAAAAGAAAUCAGUUCAGCACUAAGUCACUUUGUCUAUAUGGCAAAUGUGAGAUGCAGUGUAUGGAGCGUCAAUAUUCUAGUAUGAGAAAUUAACGAUUUAAGUCCUUCUUAAAUGAGGCCAUUUACCCAUAGAGGGUGCCAGGCCCGUAUAACGUUAAUGAUUACUAGAUGAUGUUUCCAAAGAGUCGUGUUGCUUGAUAGUGCAGCACUAAGUGGGUGGUAAACUCCAUCUAAAACUAAAUAUAACCAUGAGACCGAUAGUAAACAAGUACCGUGAGGGAAAGUUGAAAAGAACUCUGAAUAGAGAGUUAAAUAGUACGUGAAACUGCUUAGAGGUUAAGCCCGAUGAACCUGAAUAUCCGUUAUGGAAAAUUCAUCAUUAAAGUUAUAAUAUUUAAACAAUAUUAUACAAAUAAUGUGCAUUUUUUCCAUAUAAGGACAUUGUAAUCUAUUAACAUAUUAAAUUUAUCAUAAAAUAUGGCUUAUAGUUUAUUCAAAUUAUUAUGCUUGC
Molecule: non-coding RNA, 606 nt
Filed under: Drosophila ananassae
Lineage: Eukaryota; Metazoa; Arthropoda; Insecta; Diptera; Drosophilidae
Description: Eukaryotic large subunit ribosomal RNA
Rfam family: Eukaryotic large subunit ribosomal RNA
Source: Rfam by way of RNAcentral